GGCAACCCUGACGGAGCAACGCCGCGUGUGGGAGGACGGCCUUCGGGUUGUAAACCACUUUUCUCAGGGAAGAAGGACUGACGGUACCUGAGGAAUAAGCCUCGGCUAACUCCGUGCCAGCAGCCGCGGUAAUACGGAGGAGGCAAGCGUUAUCCGGAAUUAUUGGGCGUAAAGCGUCCGCAGGGGGCACAUCAAGUCUGCUGUUAAAGGCUGGAGCUUAACUCCGGUAAAGCAGUGGAAACUGGUGUGCUAGAGGGCGACAGGGGUAGAGGGAAUUCCCAGUGUAGCGGUGAAAUGCGUAGAGAUUGGGAAGAACACCGGUGGCGAAAGCGCUCUACUGGGUCGCACCUGACCCUCAGGGACGAAAGCUAAGGUAGCG
This 379-nucleotide ribosomal RNA is filed under the name uncultured cyanobacterium. RNAcentral's name for it is "bacterial SSU rRNA". It matches the Rfam family "Bacterial small subunit ribosomal RNA", at positions 376 to 770 of the family's 1533-position model. The record is from RNAcentral. Lineage: Bacteria; Bacillati; Cyanobacteriota.